GAUGAAGAACGCAGCGAAAUGCGAUAAGUAAUGUGAAUUGCAGAAUUCAGUGAAUCAUCGAAUCUUUGAACGCACAUUGCGCCCGCCAGUAUUCUGGCGGGCAUGCCUGUUCGAGCGUCAUUUCAACCAUCAAGCCCCCGGCUUGUGUUGGGGACCUGCGGCUGCCGCAGGCCCUGAAAAGCAGUGGCGGGCUCGCUGUCACACCGAGCGUAGUAGCAUACAUCUCGCUCUGGGCGUGCUGCGGGUUCCGGCCGUUAAACCACCUUCAUAACCCAAGGUUGACCUCGGAUCAGGUAGGAAGACCCGCUGAACUUUAGCAUAUCAAUAAGCGGAGGA
Molecule: unclassified non-coding RNA, 336 nt
Filed under: soil metagenome
Description: partial contains 5.8S ribosomal RNA, internal transcribed spacer 2, and large subunit ribosomal RNA
Rfam family: 5.8S ribosomal RNA (bases 1-120)
Source: RNAcentral